UUUAUUUUGAUGCGUCGCCGAAAGCAGUAAAGAAAUCACCAGAGUCCUCUUCGUCUCUGAAGAUGGAUUAUCACAUAAUUUUUAUUAUUGGUUUCAUUGCAAUGUUGAGAAAGAAGACGGUGUGUUGUGGGAUUCUUCUCGUAUUGAUGAUGGAAUUGCUGGUUAAAGGUACAAGGAGCUGACAAUGUGCAGAUGAACAGACUGUCCGGUUAUAACUAUAGGUUCAUGCACAACGUCUCUUCACAGUGUGUCUGACUCAAGAUUCAGAAGCAAAAGCAGCAACAUACAACCAGGUGGAACAACUCUUCUCACUUCUCAGUAAAGGAUGUGCAGAGAAGUGUAAAUAGUGUGCAGAUGAGUAGUAAAGUAUUGGAAACUGCAUUGUGGGUGUUGGUGAUGGUGGUGCUUUUGAUUCUCCUUGGUUUGCUGUACCUGAUUCUGAUGAUCAAGAAAUCACACAAAGGAGUACAAGAAUUCUGAUCCAGAUUCAUCAACAAACACAGGAAGACGGAUGACCACCACUCGAAUCCAGUGUAUGAAUCCAGGAAGAAGUAUAACAAUUCAUGAUAUUGCAAAGGCAUAUCCAUUAGAAUUUACCUCAAAUAAUAGUAAUAAUAGUAUUUGGCUGUUUAAUCCUGUGUAGGAACUUCUCGGUAGAGCAGGUGGUCUAGGUGUAUUGUAGUAGGGUUUGACAAUGUCGACACAGGUUAAGUAGUGACUAAAGGCAACUCUGAAUGGAAUGGGGAGAAUAUUGUGGAGGGAUGAUCUCAUUUCACAGCUUGACUUGAGAAAGCCUGGUGCUACUAGCAUUCCUUUGCUUUACACUUUUGUAUCUACAUCUGCAUCUACAUCUACAUCCAUACUCUGCAAGCCACCUGAUGGUGUGUGGCGGAGGGUACCUUGAGUACCUCUAUCGGUUCUCCAUUCUAUUCCAGUCUCGUAUUGUUCAUGGAAAGGAGGAUUGUCGGUAUGCCUCUGUGUGGGCUCUAAUCUCUCUGAUUUUAUCCUCAUGGUCUCUUUGCGAGAUAUACGUAGGAGGGAGCAAUAUACUGCUUGACUCUUCGGUGGAGGUAUGUUCUCGAAACUUUGACAAAAGCCCGUACCGAGUUACUGAGCGUCUCUCCUGCAGAGUCUUCCACUGGAGUUUAUCUAUCAUCUCUGUAACGCUUUCGCGAUUACCAAAUGAUCCUGUAACGAAGCGCGCUGCUCUCCGUUGGAUCUUCUCUAUAUCUUCUAUCAACCCUAUCUGGUACGGAUCCCACACUGCUGAGCAGUAUUCAAGCAGUGGGCGAACAAGCGUACUGUAACCUACUUCCUUUGUUUCCGGAUUGCAUUUCCUUAGGAUUCUUCCAAUGAAUCUCAGUCUGGCAUCUGCUUUAUCGACGAUCAACAUUAAAUGAUCAUUCCAUUUUAAAUCACCCCUAAUGCGUACUCCCAGAUAAUUUAUGGUAUUAACUGCUUCCAGUUGCUGACCUGCUAUUUUGUAACUUCCGCAUCGCAUCUGCCCACCCCUGAGUGGCCAUCACCUCGAACGGACAGGUCUUAAUGAAUGCCAGUGCAGCGCGCUUGAGGUCACUGCAGGAGUGGCGGACUGCGAGUACAGCUGUGGCUGCCGCGGUCUCGACAGUCAGCUGAGCGGCCACCUGCCUCUCACACGCCGCUUUCAGCCCCGACACCCCGUACUUAUCCGCUGCGGCCAGCAGCUGGGGGGCCAUGCCGGGCAGCUGGGGGGCCCGCAGGGUGUACAGGUAGGAGACCAGCUGCCUCAGCACCGGGCCCCCCACAUCGGCAAUGCUCACCACGCCGGUGCUCGUCUCGAGUGUGUCGUGUGCGAACGGGGCUCCUGCCCGCCAGGACGGCCCUGUGUGCCACCAGCCGAGUGUCACCUGCCUUGAGUAUCACGAUGGCGUCAUCCCCGGCGUCCAGGAGUGCACCCAGGUCCACAGUCACUGUCUCCGUCACGUCCUUAACUGGUUCCAUUGCGGACGAUUCUUUGUCAGGUCGCACGCUCCUGUCUUCUCGGCCACUCCCUCAACAGUCAACAGUCAGCAGCUUGGCAAUCAGCUUCAUACGUCGGACCAGAGGGUCAGUUCUUUACAGCAAAUAUGAAAUUCACUUUACAUUGACAGGCAGCUUUUUGCGCUGACUCAGCCACCUACGUGCGACCAGUUUGCACGAAACUGCCGGAGUUGAGGAAUUCUAGGAAGUGGUUUGUGUCUUUGUUGUAGGAUACAAAUUUCGAUUACCUGGGUCCUGCUUCUCCUUGUCUCUGUGAGGGCAGCUACAUGCCCUUACUUCCAACACACGACGCCCGGAGGAGUCGUUGGCCGCGCAGCAGCAGGUGUCUGGUGAGUUGCGCUGGCAGAGGUGGUGGCAGCGCCGGAGGUGGUAGUGGUUCUGGUUGCGGUACUCAGCUCUGUAACGACUGGUGCGCUGCUUUUUGGUGGUGGAUCGUACAGCAACCGGCUCACUUCGAUCAAGUCUUCCGGCUGCUUCCGCAUCACAUCUGCCCACCCCUGAGUGGCCAUCACCUCGAACGGACAGGUCUUAAUGAACGCCAGUGCAGCGCGCUUGAGGUCACUGCAGGAGUGGCGGACUGCGAGUACAGCUGUGGCUGCCGCGGUCUCGACAGUCAGCUGAGCGGCCACCUGCCUCUCACACUCCGCUUUCAGCCCCGACACCCCGUACUUAUCCGCUGCGGCCAGCGCUGGGGGGCCAUGCCGGGCAGCUGGGGGGCCCGCAGGGUGUACAGGUAGGAGACCAGCUGCCUCAGCACCGGGCCCCCCACAUCGGCAAUGCUCACCACGCCGGUGCUCGUUUCGAGUGUGUCGUGUGCGAACAUGGCUGCAAAAACGGGGCUCCUGCCCGCCAGGACGGCCCUGUGUGCCACCAGCCGAGUGUCACCUGCCUUGAGUAUCACGAUGGCGUCAUCCCCGGCGUCCAGGAGUGCACCCAGGUCCACAGUCACUGUCUCCGUCACGUCCUUAACUGGUUCCAUUGCGGACAAUUCUUUGUCAGGUCACACGCUCCUGUCUUCUCGGCCGCUCUGUUCUUACAUACAAAAGUGUAAAGCAAAGGAAUGCUAGUAGCGGUAUAUGCCCAUUCAAUCGUGAUAUUGGUUACCGGAGUUGAAAUACCUUUCUUCGAGCUUUAGGUACAGAACGUAGCAAGCUACGUGAAAUUCACUUUACAUUGACAGGCAGCUUUUUGCGCUGACUCAGCCACCUACGUGCGACCAGUUGUGGUUGUGAGAAACCACAUCCUCUUUUGCUACGUCCCUUUCUCCCCUCUCUCUUCCCUGACGAAGGAACAAGGUUCCAAAAGCUAGGAUUAUUCUUUGAAAUAAAUGCUACUGGGUACACCUUUGCAAUAUCAUGUAUUGUAAGAGUUCUACCUGAAUUCACCACCAUGUAAUUGUCACAGGCUCUGUUAUAAAAAUUUUUCAAUAGAUCAUAUACAGUCCUGUCUAAUGGAUGAAGCUUUUACUUAAUUUGUAGAAUUUUUAAUGUGCCUAUCACUGUGCAUUAUUUUUACCUGUUUUCUGACCUUAUGUAAAAUUUGUGGGUGUAUAUUGUAUUAUAUCUCUUGUAUAAUAUUCACAGAUCAGAAGCAAUAAAGCCUUUAAAUCGUUAUGCAA
This is a long non-coding RNA of Schistocerca serialis cubense, 3637 nucleotides long. RefSeq lists it as uncharacterized. The transcript is spliced from 5 exons. Lineage: Eukaryota; Metazoa; Arthropoda; Insecta; Orthoptera; Acrididae. The record is from RefSeq and is a predicted model, not a curated record.